This 74-nucleotide transfer RNA is filed under the name Paramuricea clavata. RNAcentral describes it as "tRNA-Thr". The stretch from base 5 to 70 matches the Rfam family "tRNA". Rfam says of the family: Transfer RNA (tRNA) molecules are approximately 80 nucleotides in length. Lineage: Eukaryota; Metazoa; Cnidaria; Anthozoa; Malacalcyonacea; Plexauridae. The record is from RNAcentral.
GACGCACGUAGCUCAGUUGGUAGAGCAUUGGACUAGUAUUCCAAAGGUCGUCGGUUCGAUUCCUACCGUGGCCA